GGGUGUGACUGCGUACCUUUUGUAUAAUGGGUCAGCGACUUAUAUUCUGUAGCAAGGUUAACCGUAUAGGGGAGCCGCAGGGAAACCGAGUCUUAACUGGGCGUUAAGUUGCAGGGUAUAGACCCGAAACCCGGUGAUCUAGCCAUGGGCAGGUUGAAGGUUGGGUAACACUAACUGGAGGACCGAACCGACUAAUGUUGAAAAAUUAGCGGAUGACUUGUGGCUGGGGGUGAAAGGCCAAUCAAACCGGGAGAUAGCUGGUUCUCCCCGAAAGCUAUUUAGGUAGCGCCUCGUGAA
This 297-nucleotide ribosomal RNA is filed under the name Klebsiella aerogenes. Its description in RNAcentral is "partial 23S ribosomal RNA". It matches the Rfam family "Bacterial large subunit ribosomal RNA", at positions 589 to 888 of the family's 2925-position model. The record is from RNAcentral. RNAcentral also lists the same sequence under 1 other name. Lineage: Bacteria; Pseudomonadati; Pseudomonadota; Gammaproteobacteria; Enterobacterales; Enterobacteriaceae.